GUGAGGAAUAUUGGUCAAUGGACGAGAGUCUGAACCAGCCAAGUAGCGUGAAGGAUGACUGCCCUAUGGGUUGUAAACUUCUUUUAUAAGGGAAUAAAGUGAGGGACGUGUCCCUUUUUGUAUGUACCUUAUGAAUAAGGAUCGGCUAACUCCGUGCCAGCAGCCGCGGUAAUACGGAGGAUCCAAGCGUUAUCCGGAUUUAUUGGGUUUAAAGGGAGCGUAGGUUGACAUAUAAGUCAGCUGUGAAAGUUUACGGCUCAACCGUGAAAUUGCAGUUGAUACUGUAUGUCUUGAGUGUACAAGAGGUGGGCGGAAUUCGUGGUGUAGCGGUGAAAUGCUUAGAUAUCACGAAGAACUCCAAUUGCGAAGGCAGCUCACUGGGGGACAACUGACACUGAGGCUCGAAAGUGUGGGUAUCAAACAGGAUUAGAAACCCGAGUAGUCC
Molecule: ribosomal RNA, 445 nt
Filed under: uncultured bacterium
Lineage: Bacteria
Description: partial 16S ribosomal RNA
Rfam family: Bacterial small subunit ribosomal RNA
Source: RNAcentral